This 572-nucleotide small RNA is filed under the name Pongo abelii (Sumatran orangutan). RNAcentral describes it as "retained intron". The record is from RNAcentral. Lineage: Eukaryota; Metazoa; Chordata; Mammalia; Primates; Hominidae.
CAACUUCUCUGUGCAAGAGCCAACGGAAGGCACCAAUGUUGUCGUGUGCAUCACAGUUGCUGUCACACCAUCAAAUUUGAAAGCAGAAGAUGCAAAAUUUCCACUCGAUUUCCAAGUGAUUCUGGCUGGCUCACAGCGGUUCCGGGAGAAAUUUCCACCCGUGUUUUUUUCCUCAUUUGGAAACGCUGUCCAAAGCUCAAAUAAUAAAUUCCGUCGCAACUUCACCAAGACUUACCAUCUGAGCCCUGGGAACUAUGUUGUGGUUGCACAGACACGGAGAAAAUCAGUGGAGUUCUUGCUCCGAAUCUUCCUGAAAACGCCAGACAGUGACAGGUACAGAACCCUCUGGGAUUCUAAAUGUUUUAUUCUACUUAACUUUAUAAAAACACAUUGUGUCGUUAUGGGCAGUGCUCUGUGCAUUCGUGCAGCUUGUGCUAUGUCACUGGGGACACGAUAUUGGCCCCACUCUAGAGCAGCUCAUCAUAAAGGGGGAGCGAGAAAGUCUAUGAACCAAGAACCAGACCACAAACAGGAUGGGUCCAUUGCCAGAUGGAAAUGCAAAGUGGCACGGG